This 923-nucleotide long non-coding RNA is filed under the name Medicago truncatula (barrel medic). Its description in RNAcentral is "long non-coding RNA (MTRU_LNC002842)". The record is from RNAcentral. Lineage: Eukaryota; Viridiplantae; Streptophyta; Magnoliopsida; Fabales; Fabaceae.
UUUUUUCUUUUCUUAUUUGAUGAAAACUAUAGAGAGGGAAAAACGAAGAGAGAGAAUAAAAACACAAUAUGUGAGUAUGAGAGAAUUUUUUUUUUUUUUUAAUUCAAUUGUAUUUACUAUGUAGUGUGCUUUUUUCUAACAAUCACGUGCUGCAAACCCAAACCCAUCUCCAAUGGGCUUUUCGUGUACAUUAAUAUUUGGGAAAUGGCAAUAAAGCUCGUGGUUGAUUCAAAAUGACAAAACUUGUGUUUGACUCCGGUCAUGUCAUGUUGAUAAUUAAUCAUGUGUAAAAGUUAAAAUCAAAUUCGGAUAGGAGGCAAGAGCUAAACAAAUGGAUACAAUUGAAAAAUAAAGGUUUUCAUUCAUCCAUGGAUAAGUUGCUAAUUAAGCUUGACAAAUAUUACCCUUUCCCUUUUCAUUUUUAUAUUUUUUAUCGGUGGAAGUGUAAUUCCUUUUUCCUGUAGCAACCAUCCAUCCACUCAAGUCCUGUUUCCAUACGUCCAAGAGAUGAAUAUAAAUAAUGUUGGUUUUAAUCAUCUAGGUAAUCAAGUGAGAAAGUGGGAUCACUUUUUCCUGAUGUCUACAACUCUUCAAACACAAUGUGGUCAUUUGUAUUCAUUUGAUUAAGAUUGGAUGGUCUAUUUCUAAGCGCAAUACAAGAUUAUUAAUAACCUGAGCGAAUUCAAUUUCAAUUAACAGUUGCAUGAGAAUUUUUCAUCCUUAAUUUGAUUGCAAAUGACAAUCGUGAGGCUCAUACAAGAUUCAAAAUUCACAAACAAUAUAUUGUUCCAAAAAAAAAAACAUCGUUAAUAUGGAUUAGUGUUUUCUAUUUCGUCUAUUUCUGAAUACUUGUCGUUUUUGAAAAAUAAUUUUUGUUUCAAAUUAUUUAAUGCUUUCAAGUUUCAGUGCAAUAUUGAUUAUUG